AUUGAACGCUGGCGGCAUGCCUUACACAUGCAAGUCGAACGGUAACGGGCCUUCGGGUGCCGACGAGUGGCGAACGGGUGAGUAAUACAUCGGAACGUGCCCGAUCGUGGGGGAUAACGAGGCGAAAGCUUUGCUAAUACCGCAUACGAUCUACGGAUGAAAGCAGGGGACCGCAAGGCCUUGCGCGGACGGAGCGGCCGAUGGCAGAUUAGGUAGUUGGUGGGAUAAAAGCUUACCAAGCCGACGAUCUGUAGCUGGUCUGAGAGGAUGAUCAGCCACACUGGGACUGAGACACGGCCCAGACUCCUACGGGAGGCAGCAGUGGGGAAUUUUGGACAAUGGGCGCAAGCCUGAUCCAGCCAUGCCGCGUGCAGGAUGAAGGCCUUCGGGCUGUAAACUGCUUUUGUACGGAACGAAAAGCCUUCUUUUAAUGCAGGAGGGUCAUGACGGUACCGUAAGAAUAAGCACCGGCUAACUACGUG
Molecule: ribosomal RNA, 482 nt
Filed under: uncultured bacterium
Lineage: Bacteria
Description: partial 16S ribosomal RNA
Rfam family: Bacterial small subunit ribosomal RNA
Source: RNAcentral